RNAcentral lists this ribosomal RNA (301 nucleotides) under uncultured bacterium. Its description in RNAcentral is "partial 16S ribosomal RNA". It matches the Rfam family "Bacterial small subunit ribosomal RNA", at positions 509 to 807 of the family's 1533-position model. The record is from RNAcentral.
CAGUAGCCGCGGUAAUACGGAGGGAGCUAGCGUUAUCCGGAAUUACUGGGCGUAAAGCGCACGUAGGCGGCUUUGUAAGUUAGAGGUGAAAGCCUGGAGCUCAACUCCAGAAUUGCCUUUAAGACUGCAUCGCCUGAAUCCAAGAGAGGUGAGUGGAAUUCCGAGUGUAGAGGUGAAAUUCGUAGAUAUUCGGAAGAACACCAGUGGCGAAGGCGGCUCACUGGCUUGGUAUUGACGCUGAGGUGCGAAAGCGUGGGGAGCAAACAGGAUUAGAUACCCCGGUAGUCCCUGUCUCUUAUAC